UACGUAGGGGGCAAGCGUUAUCCGGAUUUAUUGGGCGUAAAGAGCGUGUAGGCGGCUUUACAGGUCCGUUGUGAAAACUCGAGGCUCAACCUCGAGACGCCGGUGGAAACCGUAAAGCUAGAGUCCGGAAGAGGAGAGUGGAAUUCCUGGUGUAGCGGUGAAAUGCGCAGAUAUCAGGAAGAACACCAAUGGCGAAGGCAGCUCUCUGGGACGGUACUGACGCUGAGACGCGAAAGCGUGGGGAGCGAACAGG
Molecule: ribosomal RNA, 253 nt
Filed under: uncultured bacterium
Lineage: Bacteria
Description: partial 16S ribosomal RNA
Rfam family: Bacterial small subunit ribosomal RNA
Source: RNAcentral